This 3542-nucleotide long non-coding RNA is filed under the name Homo sapiens (human). Its description in RNAcentral is "HSALNT0090321". Lineage: Eukaryota; Metazoa; Chordata; Mammalia; Primates; Hominidae. The record is from RNAcentral.
GCACAUAGUGCCCGAGAGCGCGUCACUUCCGGCGUCACAGACGGUCUUUACAAGCGACUCGUGGGCGUCAAUACUGGGCUGAGUUUGUGGCGCGCUUAGUGAUGGGAUGGCCCUGUGCAGGACGCCGACACGAAAAGAUGAAGAGUUCAAUCCGUGCUGUCUGAACUCACAGUGUAGCAGGCGAGAUAGACGGGAAGAUCGGUAGGGUGGGAGAUGCCGGAAAGGCUUCCCGUGAGACUGGAUAAGAAAUCAAAAAUCUGGUGAAAUUGCCGGCAAGAGGGAGUUAAGGACAUUCCAGGCAGAGGCAAGAUUCCUAAGAUGAGGACACAGCAUCCUGGGCCACUGUCACUAAUACAAAUUUGCCUCUGGAGGGACUCUACGGAAGAUAAUUCCCCUGAAAUUUGGAGAGUUGAAUUAAGCUAGGACUGAUUCUGGCUGGAAUUUGUGGUGGCUACGUACCCUAGAGGGCCUCAAGGAAACCCACGGUUCAAGACAGCCCUGACAGAUUCUGGAGUCUAGAACAGAAAUGGAUUUGAACAUGGGCAAGGCCAACCACCCAGUUCACGGCCUGUGUACAGCAAAGAUUACGUUACAGCCUGAGAGCUAAGCCUGGAAGCUCUUUCAUCCAUCCGUUUGUCCAUCUAUCCAUCCAUCUGCUCAUCCAUCCCUCCAUCUGCUCAACAAACGUUAGAGAAUCAAUCCUUGUGUCAGAUACUGGGGCUGCCCUCAAGGAGCUUUUAUAGAGUUCAGGGUACAGCCAGGUGGGGGAGACAGAUCACUAUAAAAACCUACCACUAUAAUCCAAAGGACAAGAGCAAAAAUAGUAAAGAGGAGAGAAGACCCAAAUUUGCCUGGUGGGUCAGAGAGGGCUUUCUAGAAGAGGUAAAAAAUCUUCGGGGCUAUCACUUCACCUUGCCUGGUGGAUAAAGGGAGGACUUUCCAGAUACAGUGGACAGAAUGUGCAGAGGCAGGAGCCAUGAGUGGCAGAGGCAGGGGAGGGACUGCAGAGACAGGUUGGAGCCAAAGCACGUGGCACUGGAGCCAUAGCCAAAGGAACAAACUGUGAGACCUGGGACUUGAAUUUGGAGGUGGUGAAAAGUGACAAGGUCUUCACAGAAGAGUGAUUUUUUCAACUUAGGGAAGGCUGACCCCAGACCAAUGCUGCCAAAGUGUGGUCUGUGGGCUGUUAGCAGUUCGUGACGAUGUAAGUACAGGAAUUGAGAUUAAGCAUUUAGAACACCUACAGCACUUUGAUAGUCAUUUUACUUUUUAAAUUUUGAGCUGGCAUUUUAUAUGCCUGGUUUUUUUUUGUUUUUGUUUUUUUAUUUUUUUUGAGACAGUCUCGCUCUGUCGCCCAGGCUGGAGUGCAGUGGCGCGAUCUCUGCUCACUGCAAGCUCCGCCUCCCGGGUUCACGCCAUUCUCCUGCCUCAUCCUCCCAAGUAGCUGGGACUGCAGGCGCCUGCCGCCUCGCCCAGCUAAUUUUUUGUAUUUUUAAUAGAGACGGGGUUUCACCAUGUUAGCCAGGAUGGUCUCAAUCUCCUGAUCUCGUGAUCUGCCCGCCUUGGCCUCCCAAAAUGCUGGGAUUACAGGUGUGAGCCACCACGCCCAGCCUUAUUCUCUUUUUCUAAUAGUUGCACUUUAUCAUAUUUUACAAAUGUGUGAGUCUGCUAUGGAUUAGAAAUUAAUAAGAGAUUUUGCCACAGAUAGUUUGAGAAGCCCAGCACUGCCACUCAACAAAUGCUGGUGCAUUCAGAUGGUGAAAUAUUCUGCAGCUAUUAAAGGAGUUAAAACUGCCUCCACUUACCUGGAGGCCCAUCUGUGACACCUUUUUAGGUUAAAAGGAAAAGAAAAACUUGCUUAGGACUGAAUAUGAGCGGUUGCAAUUUGUAACAAUGAUGUAUAUAUACAUAUACAUUUUCAUGUAUUUGUAUGAACAUAAAAGUAUUGAAGGAUAUUCAUCAAACUGCUAAAAGGGUUGCUUCAGAGUAACGGACUCGGAGAAGGCAGAUUAAUUUUCUCUUAAUGGAACUCUGUAUUGUAUCACUUGUAAAAAUAAGCAUGUGUUAUCUUUAUGAUAAAAAAGUAAAAACCUAAAAAAGAAAAUUUUGAUGUGUGUUAAAAUUUUGGAUUUCUAGGCUCCACCUUUUUUGAAUGAGUCUCUCCAAGAGUGGGGCCCUCACAUGUAUAAUGAGAAAAAGCUCCCCGAUUACAGGAUGUUACCAAGCCCCGCUAGGUGUAGGAACCCUGCUUGGUACCCACCCGAGCCUCAGCAGCUCCUCCCCAUCAUGGGCAUGAUGAGGUCUCCCUGUGAGGUGUUGUGAAGACGACGGGACAGGCUGCAGUAGGCACUGAAUAAAUGAGUCCCUUCCCCUGAUGACCCUAAGGCUAUGGGAUCAUCAUCACUCCCUCCCCAAAGCCACACCUGAUUAUUCCAGCCAGCACUCGGCCUGCCCCUUUUCUGAAUGCUUUUUGAUUUUAACUUACAUUUUUCGCAUUUAAAUGUUUCAUUUAAUUUGAGAAAGAGUCUCGCUCUGUCACCCAGGCUGGAGUGCAGUGGUGCGAUCUCAGCUCACUGCAGUCUCCACCUCCUGGGUUCAAGCAAUUCUCCUGCCUCAGCCUCCCAAGUAGCUGGGAUUACAGGCGCCCACCACCACAUGUGGCUAAUUUUGUACUUUUAGUAGAGAUGGGAUUUUGCCAUGUUGGCCGGGCUGGUCUCGAACUCCUGACCUCAAGUGAUCCACCUGCCUCAGCCUCCCAAAGUGCUGGGAUUAGAGGUGUGAACCACCACAGCUGCCUUCUUUUAAUUUGUAUUUUCUAUCUCUGCGGACAAGACUUCAAAGGUGUCUAUCACAUACUUUCAGAUCUACUGAUCAUCCUCUGAAAACCAACAUCGGGGUUCACAAAAUGGAUUUAACCAAUUGGGCUCCCCAGUUCUUCUUCCAGACUCCACCCCUCCAACAGUGUCUCCAAUGACUUCCUGGCAUCACUGAACAGGUCCUUCACUUUGCCACCUCUGAGCCUUUGCUUGAGUGUUUUCUUUCCCCUGGAAUAUCCUUUCCAACCCUAUACACCGACUGAGUCAAACCUUCUGUCUUCUUUUUGAGCAUUUAUGAGCUCCUAUCAUGAGCCAUGCAUUAUGUAAGGGACCUUACAAACACAAUCAGUCUAUGUAACAAUCCUGCCAAGUAUGCUUUAUUUUGGGCAUGGGGAAACAGAGGCUCAAGAGAAGUGACCUGCCCCAGGUUUCAGUGCCAGCACACUAGUAGAGCUGGGAUUUGAACCCAGGUUUGUCUUUUGCACUGGAUUCAGCUUCCUUGCAGACCGCAGCACCUCACAUACAGCCCUUCACUGACCAGCAAUUGGAGGGAAACCACCCCUGUGGCUUAAAACCUGUGGUGCCACAGAUCAUUCCACUCAGUCAAACCCCCAAGACCGUAGAAGUGCAUUUAACACAGCAGCUCCUAGGCACAGGAUUGUCACCUCAGGGCAUAUGACUUCUAAAGUUGCAGAUUAUAAACUUGUUCUCUUUCCCUGUCCUCAG